This 253-nucleotide ribosomal RNA is filed under the name uncultured bacterium. Its description in RNAcentral is "partial 16S ribosomal RNA". It matches the Rfam family "Bacterial small subunit ribosomal RNA", at positions 524 to 776 of the family's 1533-position model. The record is from RNAcentral.
UACGGGGGGGGCAAGCGUUGUUCGGAAUUACUGGGCGUAAAGGGCUCGUAGGCGGCCAACUAAGUCAGACGUGAAAUCCCUCGGCUUAACCGGGGAACUGCGUCUGAUACUGGAUGGCUUGAGUUCGGGAGAGGGAUGUGGAAUUCCAGGUGUAGCGGUGAAAUGCGUAGAUAUCGGGAGGAACACCUGUGGCGAAAGCGGCGCACUGGACCACAUCUGACGCUGAGGCGCGAAAGCGUGGGGAGCGAACAGG